This is a non-coding RNA of Punica granatum (pomegranate), 837 nucleotides long. The record is from RefSeq and is a predicted model, not a curated record. Lineage: Eukaryota; Viridiplantae; Streptophyta; Magnoliopsida; Myrtales; Lythraceae.
GUUGCCGGGGGCGCCUUUGAGCAGAGAGGUGAUUGGGAUGAAGCUGAAGUGAAUCGCAUCAGGCUUGGACGGAACUGUUAGAAGCCACUCGCAGUGGCUUGUACACGAUAAAUCGCCUCCUCUCUUCGAGCACUUCACUGGAGCUUCAUGCAUUGACAGUGGACGAGUGCGAGAGCUGAAACAAUGCCGCCACAUAAAUAAGCAAAUGAUGACCGAACCUACAUCUUUAGGGCCGCUUGUCGAGAUGUCACGGAACGCGAGUGGCUGUGAAUCGAAAACGUUGAAUGCCCGUGGUGUCUGCACAAUUGACGGAUAAUUACGAUACACUCGCAGUCAUGUGGGACCAAUUAAUGAAGUUGGAAUUGUACACUGAGUACCUUGAGUUUGGAUUCCUUGGACUUGCAGUGGAGCGGGGAGAAGGUGCAGGCCCCGUUAAAGAGUUGAUCUCCAAGUUCGUCAAGGUGUUCCUUCAGCUCUGUGGGGGCCAUGUUCGAUGACUUGUCUUGCCUCACUAAUACGAUGUCAUGACCUCCUACGGUCAUUCCCACUAUUACGUGAGUUCCAUACUUCUCGAUGAAUCUGCACUCCCCCGGUAAAAGUUGUAGACAACACAAAUUAUAUGAUGAAUUAGUUUCAAUUAGUGAAAGAUCACCCCCACACUACAUAUGGAUGAAUAAUAUGACAACUAGUUUUGUGAUCAGACAUACUCAAGACCAGAUAUUAUAAGAUCUCGCGGCUAUGAGCGAGCCUUUAACCGAGUUAUGUAACUUUAGCAUGAGACUGAUAUGACGUUGUAUAUUGAUUUUUUGUAGGCCAGGUCUUUAGUUUUGUAGGCCA